This 485-nucleotide ribosomal RNA is filed under the name uncultured bacterium. RNAcentral's name for it is "partial 16S ribosomal RNA". It matches the Rfam family "Bacterial small subunit ribosomal RNA", at positions 29 to 523 of the family's 1533-position model. The record is from RNAcentral.
AGUGAACGCUGGCGGCGUGCUUAACACAUGCAAGUCGAACGAGAACGGAAUAUAGCUUGCUAUAUUUGUCAGCUAAGUGGCGCACGGGUGAGUAAUGUAUAGAUAACCUGCCAUUAAGAAAGGAAUAACAGUUGGAACCGACUGCUAAUGCCCUAUAUGACUUAAAUACAUAAGUAUGAAAGGGAAACGCUUUAGUGCUUAAGGAUGGGUCUGUAUGGUAUUAGCUUGUUGGUGAGGUCAUGGCUCACCAAGGCUAUGACGCCUAACUGGUUUGAAAUGAUUGUCCGUCCUAAUGGAACUGAGACACGGUCCAGACUUCUACGGGAGGCCGCAGUGGGGAAUAUUGCACAAUGGACGAAAGUCUGAUGCAGCAACGCCGCGUGGAGGAUGACACAUUUCGGUGCGUAAACUCCUUUUAUAUAGGAAGAUAAUGGCGGUACUAUAUGAAUAAGCACCGGCUAACUCCGUGCCAGCAGCCGCGGUAA